UAGGGAAUAUUGGUCAAUGGGUGAGAGCCCGAACCAGCCAUGCCGCGUGCAGGAAGAAGGCCUUCUGGGUUGUAAAAUCCUUUCGCCGAGGACGAUAAUGACGGUACUCGGAGAAGAAGCUCCGGCUAACUUCGUGCCAGCAGCCGCGGUAAUACGAAGGGGGCUAGCGUUGUUCGGAUUUACUGGGCGUAAAGCGCGUGUAGGCGGGUCGUUAAGUUGGGGGUGAAAUCCCGAGGCUCAACCUCGGAACUGCCUUCAAAACUGGCGACCUGGACCUAAGUAGAGGCAAGUGGAAUUGCGAGUGUAGAGGUGAAAUUCGUAGAUAUUCGCAGGAACACCAGUGGCGAAGGCGACUUGCUGGACUUAUGGUGACGCUGAGACGCGAAAGCGUGGGGAGCAAACAGGAUUAGAUACCCCCGUAGUCCCUGAGCGGGCUGGCAAGGCGCAU
Molecule: ribosomal RNA, 448 nt
Filed under: uncultured bacterium
Lineage: Bacteria
Description: bacterial SSU rRNA
Rfam family: Bacterial small subunit ribosomal RNA
Source: RNAcentral